AACAAACGCUGGCGGCGUGCCUAAUACAUGCAAGUCGAACGGGGAAAGCUUUCGGGUGAGUACUAGUGGCGCACGGGUGAGGAACGCGUGGAUAAUCUGCCUUAGAGUGGGGGAUAACUAGUCGAAAGAUUAGCUAAUACCGCAUAAGACCACGAGAGCUGCGGCUUUUGAGGUCAAAGGUUUUUCGCUCUAAGAUGAGUCCGCGUAAGAUUAGCUAGUUGGUGAGGUAACGGCUCACCAAGGCGACGAUCUUUAACUGGUCUGAGAGGAUGAUCAGUCACACUGGAACUGAGACACGGUCCAGACUCCUACGGGAGGCAGCAGUAGGGAAUAUUGCACAAUGGAGGGAACUCUGAUGCAGCGACGCCGCGUGAGUGAUGAAGGCCUUCGGGUCGUAAAGCUCUGUCGCAGGGGAAUAACACAAUGAAGGUACCCUGUAAGAAAGGAUCGGCUAACUUCGUG
RNAcentral lists this ribosomal RNA (462 nucleotides) under uncultured bacterium. RNAcentral's name for it is "partial 16S ribosomal RNA". It matches the Rfam family "Bacterial small subunit ribosomal RNA", at positions 29 to 507 of the family's 1533-position model. The record is from RNAcentral.